AGGUCAUACCACUUGCAAUCAGAGACACGAGGGCACCAAAAGUUUGAGUAUGGAUCCUAUGAAUAAUGUUCAAAUGCAUACGAGCCAGGGAGGAUUUAGUACGCCCAAAAAGAACACAAACAUACCUCUCUUCUCUUCGUCUUUUAUACCUGAAUGUGAUGAGCAUCUGAAGCCUAAAGUGGGUAUGACAUUUGAAGGACUCGAGGCUGUGGAGAAGUUCUACAAGGAAUAUGCGCAUCAAUCAGGUUUUGGUGUUCGCAUUGGAC
Triticum aestivum (bread wheat) is the source of this 266-nucleotide long non-coding RNA. RefSeq lists it as uncharacterized. The record is from RefSeq and is a predicted model, not a curated record. Lineage: Eukaryota; Viridiplantae; Streptophyta; Magnoliopsida; Poales; Poaceae. The transcript is spliced from 3 exons.